This 254-nucleotide ribosomal RNA is filed under the name uncultured bacterium. RNAcentral describes it as "partial 16S ribosomal RNA". It matches the Rfam family "Bacterial small subunit ribosomal RNA", at positions 524 to 776 of the family's 1533-position model. The record is from RNAcentral.
CACGUAGGGUGCGAGCGUUGUCCGGAAUUAUUGGGCGUAAAGAGCUCGUAGGCGGUGUGUCGCGUCGGCCGUGAAAACCUGCAGCUUAACUGUGGGCUUGCGGUCGAUACGGGCAUCACUGGAGUUCGGCAGGGGAGACUGGAAUUCCUGGUGUAGCGGUGAAAUGCGCAGAUAUCAGGAGGAACACCGGUGGCGAAGGCGGGUCUCUGGGCCGAUACUGACGCUGAGGAGCGAAAGCGUAGGGAGCGAACAGG